This 427-nucleotide ribosomal RNA is filed under the name uncultured bacterium. RNAcentral describes it as "partial 16S ribosomal RNA". It matches the Rfam family "Bacterial small subunit ribosomal RNA", at positions 355 to 774 of the family's 1533-position model. The record is from RNAcentral.
UGGGGAAUAUUGGACAAUGGGCGAAAGCCUGAUCCAACCAUGCCGCGUGUGUGAAGAAGGUCUUCGGAUUGUAAAGCACUUUAAGUUGGGAGGAAGGGCAUUAACCUAAUACGUUAGUGUUUUGACGUUACCGACAGAAUAAGCACCGGCUAACUCUGUGCCAGCAGCCGCGGUAAUACAGAGGGUGCAAGCGUUAAUCGGAAUUACUGGGCGUAAAGCGCGCGUAGGUGGUUUGUUAAGUUGGAUGUGAAAUCCCCGGGCUCAACCUGGGAACUGCAUUCAAAACUGACUGACUAGAGUAUGGUAGAGGGUGGUGGAAUUUCCUGUGUAGCGGUGAAAUGCGUAGAUAUAGGAAGGAACACCAGUGGCGAAGGCGACCACCUGGACUAAUACUGACACUGAGGUGCGAAAGCGUGGGGAGCAAACA